Molecule: long non-coding RNA, 1299 nt
Filed under: Canis lupus familiaris (dog)
Lineage: Eukaryota; Metazoa; Chordata; Mammalia; Carnivora; Canidae
Description: lncRNA (ENSCAFG00040016913.1)
Source: RNAcentral
UCACAUAUCGAAGGCAAAUUCCAACUUUUGAUUCAUAACCGCUGGUUCGUACUCUGUAACUCCCAUAUCCUUCAAGGUUUGUGCCAUUACCGGCAUCUCUCGGAGCGUUGGGAGGCGCCACCUUGCCCGACUGCAUGUUAUCCUGCCACUAAUCUGCUUUUUAAAUACAAUUUAUCUGCACGAGCAGUAAAUACAUUGCAUUUGAUCGUGGGACAUAUUCAUCCCUCAGCGGUUGCCCCGGGGCUUGCAGUAUCCCCGCCUUACCCUCCGAUCUCCUUAGGGUCACCAGAGCCACACGGGAUCCGGUGGGCCCUGGGAGCUGUCACCCAAGGCACAGCUGCCCCGCCAGGCCGCCCCGACGCCACGCCGGCCUUUGCCAUCAGCGGUCCUGCUGAGGGAUCGGGGGGAGCAGAAGAGCGUCAGCCCCCCUGGGAGCCGCGAUUCCCCUUUCCCUCCCCGCGUGGGGGUGAGAGGGGCGGAUGGGCUUCACCGUGGCCUUGCUCCCCAAGGCCACCCCCUGGGCCCGGGCUGCCCUCCGCAGACCUCGCCGCCCGGAGGCCAGGCCGUGGCGGUCCUGUCGCCUCCUGUGUCCCCCCGCUGGCCUCUGCCUGUGUAGGCCGAGGCGUUGGCCACAUCCCGGCCUUUCAGCCCGUAGCUCUUGGGUGGUUUUCCCCGCACGGGUGUCUUCGUCUGCCCGGUCGCCUGGCCUGUUGCACGGCCCUGCAGCUGCCCUGGUCCUUCCGGACCCACGGCCUCCUGCCCGCCCGCUGUCCCGCGCCACGCGUGCACUUCCCUCCCCUUGACGGCGGCGGCUGCUGCUCCAACUGGGCCGUCCCAAGCUCUGCCACUUGUCCAGCGCUUGCCCUGGCACGUGCUCUGCCGUGGACACCAUCCCCGGGCAGGGCCCCGCGACCCCCACGGCCUCACGUUCCCAUCCCUGCGGUUCACGGUGGGACACCAGUCCUGUGCCCGCCCAGAGACACGGGCCUGGUACCUGUGCUGUGCUGGCCCAGGCCCAGCUGCCGUGCCAGCCGCGGUGGGCCGCCUGGGGCCCCGGGAGGAGAGGCCACCCCAGGUCUGCGUGUCCAGGCUUACCCAGCGGGCCGUGGGCUGCGCACGCUGUCACGCCGAUGCGUGGGAGGACCCCUGCGCGGCCGCCCCUCGGCACGCUGCAGCAGCGACGCGCCAGCUCCCUCCAGCUGGCCAGCCCGCCGCGCCAGGCCCCGUCCCCGUCCCCGGCCCGCUAGCCAAGCCGUGCUAGGCGCUCGCAUUUUCAUGUACCCUCGAGAGAAUGAUUAA